UGGGGAAUUUUGCACAAUGGGGGAAACCCUGAUGCAGCGACGCCGCGUGAUUUAGAAGGCCUUCGGGUUGUAAAAAUCUUUUCUAUGGGAAGAAAAUGACAGUACCAUAGGAAUAAGGACCGGCUAAUUACGUGCCAGCAGCCGCGGUAAUACGUAAGGUCCGAGCGUUGUCCGGAAUCAUUGGGCGUAAAGGGUACGUAGGCGGGUAAGCAAGUUAGAAGUGAAAUCCUGUAGCUCAACUACAGUAAGCUUUUAAAACUGCUCAUCUUGAGGUAUGGAAGGGAAAGUGGAAUUCCUAGUGUAGCGGAGAAAUGCGAAGAUAUUAGGAGGAAUACCGGUGGCGAAGGCGACUCUCUGGUCUGUAACUGACGCUGAGGCUCGAAAGCGUGGGGAGCGAACAGG
RNAcentral lists this ribosomal RNA (402 nucleotides) under Bacteroidota bacterium. RNAcentral's name for it is "Bacteroidetes bacterium partial 16S ribosomal RNA". It matches the Rfam family "Bacterial small subunit ribosomal RNA", at positions 355 to 776 of the family's 1533-position model. Lineage: Bacteria; Pseudomonadati; Bacteroidota. The record is from RNAcentral.